RNAcentral lists this ribosomal RNA (253 nucleotides) under uncultured bacterium. RNAcentral describes it as "partial 16S ribosomal RNA". It matches the Rfam family "Bacterial small subunit ribosomal RNA", at positions 524 to 776 of the family's 1533-position model. The record is from RNAcentral.
UACGUAGGUGGCAAGCGUUAUCCGGAUUUACUGGGUGUAAAGGGCGUGUAGGCGGGGACGCAAGUCAGAUGUGAAAACCACGGGCUCAACCUGUGGCCUGCAUUUGAAACUGCGUUUCUUGAGUACUGGAGAGGCAGACGGAAUUCCUAGUGUAGCGGUGAAAUGCGUAGAUAUUAGGAGGAACACCAGUGGCGAAGGCGGUCUGCUGGACAGCAACUGACGCUGAGGCGCGAAAGCGUGGGGAGCAAACAGG